UACAGAGGGUGCGAGCGUUAAUCGGAUUUACUGGGCGUAAAGCGUGCGUAGGCGGCUUUUUAAGUCGGAUGUGAAAUCCCCGAGCUUAACUUGGGAAUUGCAUUCGAUACUAGCAGACUAGAGGAUGGUAGAGGGAGGUGGAAUUCCGGGUGUAGUGGUGAAAUGCGUAGAUAUCCGGAGGAACACCGGUGGCGAAGGCGGCCCCCUGGACAAAGACUGACGCUCAGGUGCGAAAGCGUGGGGAGCAAACAGG
RNAcentral lists this unclassified non-coding RNA (253 nucleotides) under uncultured Armatimonadota bacterium. RNAcentral describes it as "uncultured Armatimonadetes bacterium contains 16S-23S intergenic spacer region". It matches the Rfam family "Bacterial small subunit ribosomal RNA", at positions 524 to 776 of the family's 1533-position model. Lineage: Bacteria; Bacillati; Armatimonadota. The record is from RNAcentral.